RNAcentral lists this ribosomal RNA (253 nucleotides) under uncultured bacterium. RNAcentral describes it as "partial 16S ribosomal RNA". It matches the Rfam family "Bacterial small subunit ribosomal RNA", at positions 524 to 776 of the family's 1533-position model. The record is from RNAcentral.
UACGGAGGGUGCGAGCGUUAAUCGGAAUCACUGGGUGUAAAGCGCGCGUAGGCGGCUUUUCAAGUCAGGGGUGAAAUCCCACGGCCCAACCGUGGAACUGCCUUUGAAACUGUAGAGCUUGAGUGUCGGAGAGGGUGGCGGAAUUCCAGGUGUAGGAGUGAAAUCCGUAGAUAUCUGGAGGAACACCGGUGGCGAAGGCGGCCACCUGGACGACAACUGACGCUGAGGUGCGAAAGCGUGGGUAGCAAACAGG